Molecule: long non-coding RNA, 10227 nt
Organism: Gallus gallus (chicken)
Lineage: Eukaryota; Metazoa; Chordata; Aves; Galliformes; Phasianidae
Exons: 7
Source: RefSeq, a predicted model, not a curated record
CUGAACCAGAAGCAUGAUUCAGAACCUUUAAUCACUGAGCAUUCUCUGGUUUUGUAAAGAUUUUAAAUUUCAAGGUUAGUCACCUUCUUGUACAAGCAACACACUGCCACGUGAUUUGCCAUUGUUUUUACAGAAGCUGCAGGCAAGAAUCAGUUUUUCAUGUUUUGUCAGGCAGCUGCAGUUCCACAUCCCAAUACCUGCUGUCUUAACCACGCCUCUACUCCCUUGUCCACCAAUAUAGUAUCACACAGUUGUCCCAUUUUAAGGAAAGUAAAGGAAAUACUGUAUAACACCCUACUUUUAUUCUAAUCCCAAUGAUUUUAGGAUGACAGGGAAAAGGCCCAUUUCUAUUUCAUUUGUGUUUUUACUUAACUUGCUUAGAACUUUUAAAGUGAACAUCAGUAACUGUGUUGAUUUGUUACAGAAGAAACAGCAUAGAAUUGUGCUAACUGAUGAUCAUGAAUAUUCAUAAGGUAAAGCUGGAUAAAAUGUUUGAGUGCAAGUGGUGAAGAACUGGGAGAAGAUAAUAAAACAGGACAUUACUGACUUUUCUCAGUACUCAAUCCUAAAAAGCACUAAUACAAGGCGCUUAGGUCCUUAGAUAUAGAACUAUAAAACUUUGAGAAACUUUAAAGAAAUAUACGUAUUUAACUACCUAUAGACAUAAGAAUAGAUGAUGGUUGCUGCAUUCUCUAUGCUACUGAUUGUGAUUUCCUGCUUUAUAAAAAGCCUGCUCAAACUUUCAGCACAGGCAGAACAGAGUAGGGGCACUAUAGAAAGUGCACUUUUAAUAGAGUUUCUUGGAGAAAUCGUGGUGGUGAGUGAUAAGUGCCAAAAGAGAGGAGGGUAUGGGUGGAACAUAGUGGAAGUCUAAUUAAAAUUCUGUGGAUUUUUAUUGGAAGAUCCUUGCUUUGCCAGAGCAAUAGUUGCUCUCAGUGCCUGAUAUUCUCUGGGCUUUCUUUGUUGCCUUUCUUAAUGCUCUCUUUGGUUCAAGUCUAGGUGACUGUUUGGAAAGACAGAAUCUUGAUUUGGCCCAAACAGUCUGAUGUGCUCCUUUGCAAAAUCAGCUAUACCUGGAGAUUAUUUUGCUUGAGUUCCCUGCAACUACAAGAAAAUUUUUAGCUACCUCUGGACAAAUAACUUGUCCCAUCCCCGUUCAGAGGAAAACUGCAUUUUUUUUUCUAUGAGAAUGUGUCCCCUCUGGGCCAUAGGAAAAGUCUUUUCAAUUGGUAGGGAAUGCUGACUGAAAACUGGAAGCUCUGUUAAAAUUGCCAAGCUUUGACAUUUGUUCUUUAUUCUACAUUGAGAUGAAUUAAGACCGUGCAAAUUAUGUUUGUGAAAACAUCACAAAAAGCAACAAUGAUAUAGCUGCUGGGAGCUCGAGGUUUGAGAUGCUGUGCUUCCUGAUUCAUUUACACGUUGGGCAGCGUUCCAAAUCACUUUUCAUUUGUUUGAUUGAUAUUUUAAGUGUUGCAAAUGAAGCAGAAUACCAAUAUCUUAGUGAUUAGGAUUUCCACCAGAGGCAUGGGAGACAGAUAUUUGUCACUUUCCUGUGUAAAUACUUGCUGUGGCUGGGAGUCCCCAUCAUUCCAGUGCAGUUUUGCUCCGUGUAACACGGUAUGCUUCUAAACACAAAUGCUUCAGAGGAUUGUUAUCGUUUAAUCCCAGUAGGCAGCUCAGGACCAUGCAUCUCACUCUCCUCAGAUAAGAUGGGAGAGAGCAUCAGGAAAGUGAAAGCAGGAGAACUCGUGGGUUGAAAGAACAACUGCCCACUAAGUAAAGCAAAAACCAUGUGAGCAGGUAAAGCCAACGAGGAAUUCAUUCACUAUUUCCCAUCAGAGGCAGCUGUUCAGUCCCUCCCAAAAGACUAGGGCUCAGCAUGCAUAGUGAUUUCCUGGGAAGACAAAUGCCAUCAGCUGCGAUAUUCCACCUUCCUUCUUCUUUCCCUUAGCUGUUACUGCUGAUCAUGAAGCCCUACGGUAUGAGAUAUCCCUUUGGUCAGUCUGGAUCAGCUGUCCACAUCCCCUCCCAGCUCUCUGUGCAUCCGUAUUUUUUUAAAAAACCUUGAUUUGGAAAAAGUAUCAGUGUAUUGUAAUAUUGAAGAGCAGUACAGCUUACCAUGAGCGCUUUGGAAAGCUUUACAGACAGGCACUGAACCUUUCAGCAGGAAGAUAUUGGGAAUGGUUUUGAUUAUACUGCCCCGUACUGCAAAACAUACAAGGAGGGGGGAGUUCAUUUAAGAUGGAAUGAAGAUUGAACUACCAUGUAUCUUUUAACAUGCUACAAAUUAAGAACUGAACUUAUUUACUUCAGUGUGCAAGGGACACUGCGUGUCUUUGCAAACACAUAGAAACUUGAUGUGCCUGCAAGCAAAUGUUUGGAAGGUAAGAAUAAUGAUACCAAUUCACUCCUAUAGACUGUAGACAUAAUUGAAUCCUCUGAGAAAUUAAGUAUACAAACACUGACGUAUAAAAAGCUAGAUAGAUUUGCUUGAAUCAGGACAGCAACACAUAAAAAACAGCAGUAUCUAUCUACUUAAAGGGAGAGUGUUAGAAAGAGAGAAUCCAAUCAACAUAAAAGACAUGAGAUAAUACAAGAGUGACCUUUUCAAGUUAAGUUCCUGUAUUUUUCCUAAAUUAUUCUUUUUAUCAAAUGUUUCUAAUAAGUCCAUUCACCCAGACUAGAUGGGCUACUCUAGCAGUAAGAUGUUAUCCCCUGUGCUGUGACAAAGUCAGAAUGUAGACCUGAUGAAAUUGGCAGUAUCUCAUUUAGCUCAUGUUUGGAGAAAGAGAAGGUUAAAUACCAGUGUGUAGAGGCUUCCAUGGUGCAGUCUCAAUUUGGUCCCUCUUUUAUGACUCUUUUUCAUAUAUGCAACUUUGUGCUUUUUGUCAAAGAAUAUUUUGGUAACAGUAAUUAUCCAUUAGAAGAUUUAUCUCUGCUUCACAUUCAAGAGCUUUCAUGGCAUCCGUAGUUGAAUAAUUUUGAUACUGAUGGCUACUUGGUGGUUUUGGACUGAGUAAUUAUACAUCCACAGGGAGAGAAAGGCAUGCUGCCAAAGCAUUUCAAGUGCUAUCUCAGCAAUGCAAAAGACUUGGCAUUUCCCUCUGUCAUUUUUCAUUCUCAAAGUGCUAUAAACAUAUGCUGAAGAAAAUAUUUCAAGUACCUGGGAAGAGUAGCCCAGUACACUAUCAGCUCAACUCUUCUGGACAUUCUUAUUUAUUUUGCUAAAUGAAGGCAUCUUUAGAAACUAGUUAUCACAGAAGGAAUUAUUAUCCUUUUCGUUACUGUUGCACAGAUGUACUGUAUUUCUCCAUCGUCUCUUUUUUAGUAAUCAGAAUAAGACAGGUAAUCCUCCUGCUCUUUCCCCACUAGGUCACAUAGCAGAUACUGUAUGAACUGCUAUAUUUUCUGAGAACAAAUUUUGAAAUCUGGUCUUCAGUUUUCGGUUUUCUUAAUCUGUCCUCAUGUUUAAUCCAGGGAACAGGAUGAGGAAAGAGAUGAGUAUACUGUUGCAGUUUAGUACCAGUGUUCCCAUCGACUCGAUGUUUUCUGAAUCUGAAUUCUACAACAUGGUGUGGAUUCAGCAAGAAAUGUCCUGAGAAAUGGUGGAUCAGAAGAUAAAAAAUGGCAGUGACAUCCACCUUUGUGCCAGGCACAGUGCCGGUACUCCAGAGCCACACAACCACUGUCUCCCACCUCACAUUCAUGCUUAUAAUUCCAGACAUGCUUAAUGACGUAUAGCAAUGGUUCUUCCCCCAUACAAUGCUAAAAACAACUUCCACUUGUAUUUUCAAUUAUGUUAUUUUUCACUUAGACAUGUCUGAAACUUCAGCAACAACAAAUCUUUAACUUAUUCCCUUCUUUUUACUUCGGGUUGAUUUUGUUACUGGUUUUUGUUUGUUUGUUUGUUUUUCUUUUUCUGUCUUCACAACAUACUGCAGGUUUGAGUCUCUCAGAGCCAGAAAGAAAUCGGUAUCAAGACGUGCUAAGAAUGUAUUGUAGUUACUAAGGAAGUGGUUUCCCAAGCAACAGUAACCACAUGAAAUUCGACAGAAUUUCUUCCUUUGCUACUAUAUCAUGUUUGAAGAUUUCAAAGAGCCAGGAUGUGGGUAGCAUAAGUGAUUUUGUCCUUGUUAAACAGAAGCAGAUACAGUAAUAUCCUUGUCCUUACUAAAGAAAGGGUUAAAUUCAUUAAGUUACAAUUUUCCUGGUAGCAGAAAAAAAUGUGGAUGUGCCAAAUAGUCCUGCAGCAUGUGGGCAGAUGCUAGAGGCAACAUUCUCAGUUGUUACAUACUCAGUGGUGAUAUUUACCAUUCAAGAAAGCCAUGCCAACACUUUGGUUUGCUCCAGACACUGGAAGAGACAUUUACCAGCUUGAUGAUGUCAAAAAGUGUAGGAAACUUGCACUUGCUUGAUAUUAGUAGAAGGAUCAGAACCAAAGGUAAUGAAGUUGCAUUGUCCUAACUUCUCUGCAGUGGUGUAAACAAAAUGGAGUCAGCUGGGCAUCAAUCAAAGAAUGCAGUGUCAUUGCUAUUCUGUUUUGAUCAAGAAAUGAAAAUAACACAGUAGAUGUUGCCCUCUGAAAGUGAAUUUAAUGCUUGUUCUUAGAAGGGAAUUGGAAACAACAGGUUCUAUGGGUUAACAAGCAGUGCAAUUUAAUAUGUUUUCUCGAUAGAAAAUGUGAAUAAUUUCUACCUGCUUCUGUGUGCUGAGGUUCAUUGAGUGGUAAGGCACCACAGAGGCACUGUUAAUAAAGAGCUCAAUCCAGCAAGACAAAGAAAGAGAUGACUCAUUUUUCAUUUGAGUUUCAGGUACUAAGAAAAUCAAAAUUUCUUUCAAAAAUUUGUCUUUAAGAAGUGAUUCUUUAUAUCCACUUCAUGUUUAUGGUGAAAUUUAAAAAAGAAAAUGUGGUGGUGUGCAUGUGAGGCAAAUCCCAAGGGAAGGUAUGUAUUGAAGGAGGUGUGUUUCCAUAUGUUAUUAAGGUUCGUGCUUUGUAGGUACACUUACAUCUUUUCUGAAAACUUAGAUUUCUGCUUUGACCAGAGUAAGAAUUUUUUUACAAUUGUACAAACUCCUACUUAUCUUCUGGAUUGCAGGUCACCAUGCAUAAUGAAACAUUUGAGCUACGGAACCUUUUAAAGUAUACGAAGAAACAAUUAUGUGUAUUAUGAAACUGUUCAGCAGUAUGGAUUGGGGCCAGCUCUGUGCAUUCCCAGAUGUAAUGGACAUAAUUGCAGGUCUCCAAGCACAGACACUGAAGUGAAUGACUGAGGGGAUUUGGGGGCUUCACUGGCUCUGGAUCUGUAUCAGCAGUGCCAGAAACAAACUGGCUCAUUAAAAGCUUUAAUCUUAUUUCACUUAUUACCCUUUCACUUAUUUCUACCUUUGUGAACUGCUUCAUGCAAAGAACUGCCUUUUUAAACCAUCUCUCAAACCCUCUUCAAGUUGCAGAACUAAUAUUCUUAGCUAACAAGCUCUUAGUUAAGUAAGUGGUUAGAAAACUUCUAAGUCCUUCAGAAGGCUUCCUUCCAACACAUCCUCCGUAGACAUACUAAUGUGUUUGUAUUUCUGUGAUGCAUUAAGACAUCUAAAAGAAUACUGCUUGUAGGCAGGUAAAUGCUAUAAUUAGAAAAAAACAAGUUGAGUCUCCAAAUAAAGUCAUCUGUUUCUUUUAAAAAUACAGUAGAUGCACUAUAAUGUAGGAACUUAAUUUAUUUAAAUAAAGUUUGUUUGUAUUCAUGCACAGAACCCAACUAAAUCAAAUGUCUGCAGCUUUUGUGCAUGCUUGCAUUUUAAGCAGUUGCAUCUAAUCAGAAUAGUUAUCAUUUUAAUAGAGCUGGCGCACAUUAAAAAGAGCAUGGAUGGGGGGAUGUUACCCUCCCCCUCUACUCUGCCCUGGUGAGGCCACAUGUAGAGUACUACGUCCAGUUCUAGACUCCUCAGUUCAAGAAAGACAGAGAGAGUCCAACAAAGGGUCAUAAAGAUGAUGGGGAACCUGGAGCAUCUCCUUUCUGAGGAAAGGCUGAGAGACCUGUGACUGUUCAGCCCAGAGAAGACUGAGAAGGAAUCUUACCAAUGCCUAUGGAUAUCUGAAGUGUGGAAGUAAGGUGGAUGGGGCCAGGCUCUUUUCAGUGGUGCCCAGUGACAGGAUAAGGGGCAAAGGACACAAACUGGAACACUAGAAGUUCCAUAUGAACAUGAGGAAAAACCUCUUUGAAAGUGACAGAGCACUGUAACAGGCUGCCUGGAGAGAUUGUGGAGUCUCCUUCUCUGGAGAUAUGCAUAUCUGCCUGGACGCCUUCCUGUAUGACCUACUGUAGGGAACUUGUUUUAUCAAGGGUUGGACUAGAAGAUGUCCAGAUGAUCUCCAGCCACAGUGAAUCUGUGAUUCUGUGUAUUACUUUAUUUAUUCAGUUUUUUUUCUUUUUCAGAGAAAGCUGCCUCUGCCCUCGAAGGCCUCUCAUUUUACCAGGAUGUAUGCAGUGGACACAGACCUGAUAAGAAAUUAUGAGGUUGCAGUUUCUACUGGAAUAAGAGUUCAAUGCAGUCACUUACCCAGACUUCACUUCAUCAUGUCUGAGCACUUACAGCUAUAACUUGUGAUCUUUCUGGUUUAUUUGGAGGCACAGCAAGCCAGCUCCUGUACACAGAGGCAUCCUUAUAUGCUUUCUAAUGUGAUGCUGCUGUGUGGGAUAUUGAGAUCACAGUGAAGGUCGCAGUGCAAAUAUUUACAUACAGGCAAGUCUUAGUGUAUGACUCUCUGGAGACCCCUACAUAAAGGCUGUGAAUCUGAUUAGAUUCCAAAAUGGAAGAGCAAGACAUCUUGUUUUUGUCCAUACUCUUGAAAAUGUUAUCCUAACCCUCAAGAACAUUAAGAACAGUAAGGCUAUGAAGAGAUGGAGAAGAACAACUGAAGUUCCAUAAGAAGCCAUUCAAUUUGGUAUUGUUGAAUCACUACAUCAAGAAACCUAGCUGCAUCUUGAAGAACAUAUUGUUACUUGCACUGCUUUAUGUCAAAUUAAACAUGUAGACAAUUUCAAAUGGAAAGAAUGUUGGACAGUAUAGUAACAACUCAGAGUCAGGACUAAAAGCAAAAUUAGUUGCUCUCGCACAAGCUUUUGGCUUGUUAUGGAAGAAGAUGAUUACUGUAAUUAGUGACACUGAAGAUGUACAAUUCUCUUCAUGAAAUAGUUGUGGAUGAAGUCCAAAAAAUUAUUAUGCUGGCUGUUUGGCCAGAAAAUAUCAAAAGGGGACACCUGUGUUCCAGAUAGAAACAGCUGUAAAUAUGUUGUUACAUAAGCACUCGCUCUGCUCCCACAUACUGUGUCUUGCUGUUGUCAACCUAAGCUUGAGAACUGGUUCCAUUUGAAGGGAAAGAAAAAGCAUAGAGUUAUACAGUAUUUAAGAGAAGAUCCCCGUUCCUUCAUUUUUUGCCUUCAUAUUUUCUAUUAUUUUUGUACUUUUUUUUUUUUUUUUUUUUUUCCUGGAUUUCAACCCAGGAAUCCAUCUUCCUCAUCUGCUGUAAUUCAUAGACUAGAGAGUAACCUUUCUUCUUCCCUGCUACCGCAACAACUAAUCAUUUACAUUUUAGAUGCAAAAUGCCACUGCCUGUAGAGGAAGUUUGUCCUUGCAUUCUCAGUUUUUCUUAGGGGGUGGAGACAUAGAUCUGAAUGUGAAUUUAAAUAGUAAUGGCAGUGAAACUUCGGUCCGUCGCAGCUUCAACAGCUUUUGCCAAAAAAAACCCACAACAACAACAAACAAAACAAACAAAAACAAACAAACAAAAAAACCCUCCAACCACCUUAAAUGUUUUUCCGGCCAUUUUGCAAAAGAGAACAAUUUCUGAGACUUUUUUAUUAUAUUUGUUUAUUUAUUUAACUUGUGAAGAAAUAAAUAUUAAAACCUACUGGCUCAAGACUUUUAGAAGAGUAAAGCACUGGAAUGUUUAGGUUUGACAAAUGCAUUGAUGCACAUGACACUUCAUGUUUUCAUGACUGAAUUGUUUCUUGUCAUUUAGAGAAGCAGAAAUUUUGUGGGAGAGUUGCAAUACUCCCUCCUUAGUUUUUAUGCUACCUUGAGUCUGUGUAAUGUAAGGGCAUGUUUGAAAUGCUGUCUUUGGGUCUGGGAGCUUAAAUUUCACGUAAUUUAUGUAUUAGAAAUUCAAGUCCAUAUUUGAAGCUGUAUUUAUGUAUCUUCUCUGUUUUGUGGUGGUUUUGCUUUUUAAAUGUAAAGUAUUAAUUUUCACAUUCAAACAUGCCUGUAAACGGAGCUUAUCUGAUAUUAUGUGCAAGUUCAGGCAAAUUGUUUAUUAUCCCUGGAGUGUGAUGUAAGUCCUACUUAUCACAUAUCUUUCAACUGUAACUUUACAGCCAUUACUGAUCAGAUAUAGAUUAUUUUUCUUACUCUUACAGUGUUGCAAUCUAUGAUAUAGAAAGAAUGAGGAAAAGCUGGUAACAGCAACACUACAUAAAUAAUACCUUCAGACCAAAAAGAGAAAUAGAAUGUAUCCAAGCAAAUACUGAAGAGAAUAAGUGGAGAAAGAAUUACUUGAUUUGGAGUAAAAUCAGGAACCCUGGAGCUAAUGAGCUCAUUCUUACAGAAAACACAAGGCAAAUUACCAAAUCUGGCCCAAAAAUACAUACAAGCAAAAGAAGAUCAUUCAUUUAUUUUAUAUAUGCUUUUUAUUUCAUGACAUAAUAAAGAAUAUUAUUCAACUAUCUCUGAAAUCAUGACUGAAGUAACGUUGCUAGAACAUUUAGAUCUAAAAUAAAUUUGUAUGAAAAAUUAUGCCAUACUUCUAAAAUGAGGACAAAAUCUGACUUUGUAGAUGACAGCUGAGUCUUUCUGCUUUUUCUUUUUUUAAUCUGUUUAAAAGGACAACAAAAUGUGAUCGUUUUAUAAUGGUUCCUUUCUUUCCAAAAGCAGAGAUCUGAGGAGGCCAUAUAUUUGAUGCUCCAUUUCGCAAACUAAAAUCCCCUGCCUUGACAUUGUUCAAGGUGAGCUUAAAUAGGGCAAGACACAUGCUGUUCUUACAGCUGUAUUUGUUCAGAUGCACAGUUCCCAACUGCAUGAGGCUACCCACUCCCCAUACUAAAUGCCAGAGAUAGAAAAAGUAGAAAUGGAUAGGAAAGAUAAAUUCAUUUAAAGGUCUUGCUAUUGUUAGUACAGUCAUGGUGUAUAAACAUGUUAUAAUUAACAGGAUCUAGCAUAUGAUUUUCUCUUCAUUGCCAUUGAAGAAAAUAAAUUAUAUUGUUGUUUCAUAGUGAUAAUGUUCAGAUUUGACUGUGUUUAAGAAACCAAGGAAUGCCUUCCUUUUUCUUUCUAAUGAAUUGCAUGCUUUACCUUUUUUAUUUUAUUAUUUUAUUUUGUUAAUUUCCUAGUCCCUAGUUUUGUUAAUUUUCCCAGUCCCUAUGAAAGAAAAUGAAUGUUAAUGGGAUGCCUUUAGCAGUUUAAUUAAAACUUUCUGGCUUGAUUAAAGUAUGCAGACUACACCAUAAUAGAUUCAACCAUUGACAUUUUGGAAUAUGCAAUGCCUUCAGAAGAAAAUGUCCCAAAGGGGCUUUAUUUCCUUCUAAGUGAGAAUAAAUCAUGCCAACAUUUGAAGAUGAAAAGAAUAUACAACGUAAUAAAACAAAUAAGAUACUUUUAGUUAUAGGUGAGGACUGUAAAUGUUCGACCAAUAGUUCAUACUGUCUUCCCAAUCCAAAGGUUUGCAUAUGUAUAUGUAAUAUGUGUUGUCUGUGCAUAUUGCUUUAAUUCAUAUAUUUUCAUAAUAUAUGUAUGUAAUAUAUGUAAUAUACAUAUACUGUGAAAAUACAUGUUUACAUAUGCUGGAAAAAGGGAAACAUCACUCUCAUUUUUAAGAAAGCAGGAGGGAAGAUCCAGGAAAUUACUGGCCAGUGAACCUCACCUCUGUGCCUGGUAAGAUCAAGGAACAGAUAUCAGAUCCUUCUGGAAGAUUAAGUUAAGGCACUUAUGAGAUAAGGUGGUGAUCUGUAAGAGCCAGCCUGGAUUCACCAAAGGCAGCUUGUGCCUGAUCAAUAUGGUAGCCUUCUGUGACAGAGUGAUGGCAUCAAUAGAUAAAAGAAGACCAGAUCAUGUAAUCUGCCUGGACUUUUGCAAGGCCUUUGAUAUGGUCCCACAUCAGAAUCUUAUCUCUAUAUUGGAAAAAUAUGAAUUUGAUGGGUGAACUAUUUGGUGAAUAAAUAAUUAGUUGGAUGGUCAUAA